UAGGGAAUCUUCGGCAAUGGACGGAAGUCUGACCGAGCAACGCCGCGUGAGUGAAGAAGGUUUUCGGAUCGUAAAGCCCUGUUGUUAGAGAAGAACGUUGGUAGGAGUGGAAAAUCUACCAAGUGACGGUAACUAACCAGAAAGGGACGGCUAACUACGUGCCAGCAGCCGCGGUAAUACGUAGGUCCCGAGCGUUGUCCGGAUUUAUUGGGCGUAAAGCGAGCGCAGGCGGUUCUUUAAGUCUGAAGUUAAAGGCAGUGGCUUAACCAUUGUACGAUUUGGAAACUGGAGGACUUGAGUGCAGAAGGGGAGAGUGGAAUUCCAUGUGUAGCGGUGAAAUGCGUAGAUAUAUGGAGGAACACCGGUGGCGAAAGCGGCUCUCUGGUCUGUAACUGACGCUGAGGCUCGAAAGCGUGGGGGGCAAACAGG
Molecule: ribosomal RNA, 429 nt
Filed under: Bacillota bacterium
Lineage: Bacteria; Bacillati; Bacillota
Description: Firmicutes bacterium partial 16S ribosomal RNA
Rfam family: Bacterial small subunit ribosomal RNA
Source: RNAcentral